UACGUAGGGUGCGAGCGUUGUCCGGAAUUACUGGGCGUAAAGAGCUCGUAGGUGGUUUGUCGCGUUGUCCGUGAAAACUCACAACUCAAUUGUGGGCGUGCGGGCGAUACGGGCAGACUGGAGUACUGCAGGGGAGACUGGAAUUCCUGGUGUAGCGGUGGAAUGCGCAGAUAUCAGGAGGAACACCGGUGGCGAAGGCAGGUCUCUGGGCCACUACUGACGCUGAGAAGCGAAAGCAUGGGGAGCAAACAGG
RNAcentral lists this ribosomal RNA (253 nucleotides) under uncultured bacterium. Its description in RNAcentral is "partial 16S ribosomal RNA". It matches the Rfam family "Bacterial small subunit ribosomal RNA", at positions 524 to 776 of the family's 1533-position model. The record is from RNAcentral.